This 727-nucleotide long non-coding RNA is filed under the name Callithrix jacchus (white-tufted-ear marmoset). Its description in RNAcentral is "lncRNA (ENSCJAG00000054150.2)". Lineage: Eukaryota; Metazoa; Chordata; Mammalia; Primates; Cebidae. The record is from RNAcentral.
AAUACAUUUUAAUUACUCGAAGAUAAAAGGGAGCCUCAGAUAUAAUUUGCUACUCGUUCUCUUUACAGAAGACGAAAUGUUAAGAAAGGAGUUCAGGAGGAAAUGCUUGCGAGGGAAUUUAUAACCACUUCUUUGCUUCUGGGAAUGCCUGAUGCCGACGGGUUUGAACUGGAGGCUUCCUUGUUUGUUCAUUGGAAAGGUGUUUACCCAAGAGAAAUAAAUGUCCCCGUUUAAAGACUAGUCCACAAAUGUGCACAGUAGUAUUUGUUACAUACGAAGGCUGGAAAAAACCCAGAUGUUCAUCACAAGAUGGGGAAUACAGCAUUUGCGGAAUGCAGUACCUACAUAUGGGGAGGACCAACUUCUACUGUAUGCAAGAUCCCAGCACCCAUGGCGGGAAUUGAGUAUGUUCAUAUUUUGGAAUGGGACACAUCCUGAAAUCAAUCUUUCACUUACACCGUGAGAUGAUGAUGAUGAUGGUAUGUGAGUGUGUGUGUGUGUAUGUGUAUCUGUGUGUGCAUGCGUGUGUGUGUGUGUGUUCAGAGUAAUUACACCAGGGAGAUCUAUGUGAUGAUGCUUAUGUUGAAUACAAAAUCAGCUUACUACUAUACAUUUCCUCUUUGCUGCUCAUGAUCAAUUAUGUUUUAGAAACACUGUGCCUUUAACAACUACUUUACAAGUCAGCUUCUGCAGCCCAGAAAAGUAUUGAAAAUUUUAACUAAGUUCU